Molecule: ribosomal RNA, 451 nt
Filed under: Salmonella enterica subsp. enterica serovar Infantis
Lineage: Bacteria; Pseudomonadati; Pseudomonadota; Gammaproteobacteria; Enterobacterales; Enterobacteriaceae
Also listed under: 2 other names
Description: bacterial SSU rRNA
Rfam family: Bacterial small subunit ribosomal RNA
Source: RNAcentral
GUUGUGAAAUGUUGGGUUAAGUCCCGCAACGAGCGCAACCCUUAUCCUUUGUUGCCAGCGGUCCGGCCGGGAACUCAAAGGAGACUGCCAGUGAUAAACUGGAGGAAGGUGGGGAUGACGUCAAGUCAUCAUGGCCCUUACGACCAGGGCUACACACGUGCUACAAUGGCGCAUACAAAGAGAAGCGACCUCGCGAGAGCAAGCGGACCUCAUAAAGUGCGUCGUAGUCCGGAUUGGAGUCUGCAACUCGACUCCAUGAAGUCGGAAUCGCUAGUAAUCGUGGAUCAGAAUGCCACGGUGAAUACGUUCCCGGGCCUUGUACACACCGCCCGUCACACCAUGGGAGUGGGUUGCAAAAGAAGUAGGUAGCUUAACCUUCGGGAGGGCGCUUACCACUUUGUGAUUCAUGACUGGGGUGAAGUCGUAACAAGGUAACCGUAGGGGAACCUGC